RNAcentral lists this ribosomal RNA (402 nucleotides) under bacterium. RNAcentral describes it as "partial 16S ribosomal RNA". It matches the Rfam family "Bacterial small subunit ribosomal RNA", at positions 355 to 776 of the family's 1533-position model. The record is from RNAcentral.
UGGGGAAUUUUGCACAAUGGGGGAAACCCUGAUGCAGCGACGCCGCGUGAUUUAGAAGGCCUUCGGGUUGUAAAAAUCUUUUCUAUGGGAAGAAAAUGACAGUACCAUAGGAAUAAGGACCGGCUAAUUACGUGCCAGCAGCCGCGGUAAUACGUAAGGUCCGAGCGUUGUCCGGAAUCAUUGGGCGUAAAGGGUACGUAGGCGGGUAAGCAAGUUAGAAGUGAAAUCCUAUAGCUCAACUAUAGUAAGCUUUUAAAACUGCUCAUCUUGAGGUAUGGAAGGGAAAGUGGAAUUCCUGGUGUAGAGGUGAAAUGCGCAGAUAUUAGGAGGAAUACCGGUGGCGAAGGCGACUUUCUGGCCAUAACCUGACGCUGAGGUACGAAAGCGUGGGUAGCAAACAGG